GGGGGUAUAGCUCAGUUGGUAGAGCGCCUGCCUUGCACGCAGGAAGUCAACGGUUCGAGUCCGCUUACCUCCA
Molecule: transfer RNA, 73 nt
Filed under: Microcoleus vaginatus
Lineage: Bacteria; Bacillati; Cyanobacteriota; Cyanophyceae; Oscillatoriales; Microcoleaceae
Description: tRNA-Ala
Rfam family: tRNA
About the family: Transfer RNA (tRNA) molecules are approximately 80 nucleotides in length. Their secondary structure includes four short double-helical elements and three loops (D, anti-codon, and T loops).
Source: RNAcentral